GUACCUCAUGGCCCUUAUGGGUAGGGCUUCACACGUCAUACAAUGGUCGGUACAGAGGGUUGCCAACCCGCGAGGGGGAGCUAAUCCCACAAAGCCGAUCGUAGUCCGGAUCGCAGUCUGCAACUCGACUGCGUGAAGUCGGAAUCGCUAGUAAUCGUGGAUCAGCAUGUCACGGUGAAUACGUUCCCGGGUCUU
This 195-nucleotide ribosomal RNA is filed under the name uncultured Rhodocyclaceae bacterium. Its description in RNAcentral is "partial 16S ribosomal RNA". It matches the Rfam family "Bacterial small subunit ribosomal RNA", at positions 1188 to 1382 of the family's 1533-position model. Lineage: Bacteria; Pseudomonadati; Pseudomonadota; Betaproteobacteria; Rhodocyclales; Rhodocyclaceae. The record is from RNAcentral.